This 292-nucleotide ribosomal RNA is filed under the name uncultured bacterium. RNAcentral's name for it is "partial 16S ribosomal RNA". It matches the Rfam family "Bacterial small subunit ribosomal RNA", at positions 505 to 796 of the family's 1533-position model. The record is from RNAcentral.
GUGUCAGCCGCCGCGGUAAGACAGAGGGUGCAAACGUUGUUCGGAAUUACUGGGCGUAAAGCGCGUGUAGGCGGCAGCGUGUGUCGGGCGUGAAAUCCCAUGGCUCAACCAUGGAAGUGCACCCGAAACUGCGCAGCUAGAGUCCUGGAGAGGAAGGUGGAAUACUUGGUGUAGAGGUGAAAUUCGUAGAUAUCAAGUGGAACACCGGUGGCGAAGGCGGCCUUCUGGACAGUGACUGACGCUGAGACGCGAAAGCGUGGGGAGCAAACAGGAUUAGAUACCCGAGUAGUCC